GUAGGCGAUGGAUAACAGGUUGAUAUUCCUGUACCACCUAUAAUCGUUUUAAUCGAUGGGGGGACGCAGUAGGAUAGGCGAAGCGUGCGAUUGGAUUGCACGUCUAAGCAGUAAGGCUGAGUAUUAGGCAAAUCCGGUACUCAUUAAGGCUGAGCUGUGAUGGGGAGAAGACAUUGUGUCUUCGAGUCGUUGAUUUCACACUGCCGAGAAAAGCCUCUAGAUAGAAAAUAGGUGCCCGUACCGCAAACCGACACAGGUAGUCAAGAUGAGAAUUCUAAGGUGAGCGAGCGAACUCUCGUUAAGGAACUCGGCAAAAUGACCCCGUAACUUCGGGAGAAGGGGUGCUCUUUAGGGUUAACGCCCAGAAGAGCCGCAGUGAAUAGGCCCAAGCGACUGUUUAUCAAAAACACAGGUCUCUGCUAAACCGUAAGGUGAUGUAUAGGGGCUGACGCCUGCCCGGUGCUGGAAGGUUAAGAGGAGUGGUUAGCUUCUGCGAAGCUACGAAUCGAAGCCCCAGUAAACGGCGGCCGUAACUAUAACGGUCCUAAGGUAGCGAAAUUCCUUGUCGGGUAAGUUCCGACCCGCACGAAAGGCGUAACGAUUUGGGCACUGUCUCAACGAGAGACUCGGUGAAAUCAUAGUACCUGUGAAGAUGCAGGUUACCCGCGACAGGAC
This 675-nucleotide ribosomal RNA is filed under the name Staphylococcus aureus. RNAcentral's name for it is "partial 23S ribosomal RNA". It matches the Rfam family "Bacterial large subunit ribosomal RNA", at positions 1411 to 2081 of the family's 2925-position model. The record is from RNAcentral. Lineage: Bacteria; Bacillati; Bacillota; Bacilli; Caryophanales; Staphylococcaceae.